GAUGAACGCUGGCGGCGUGCCUAAUACAUGCAAGUCGAGCGAACAGACGAGGAGCUUGCUCCUCUGACGUUAGCGGCGGACGGGUGAGUAACACGUGGAUAACCUACCUAUAAGACUGGGAUAACUUCGGGAAACCGGAGCUAAUACCGGAUAAUAUAUUGAACCGCAUGGUUCAAUAGUGAAAGACGGUUUUGCUGUCACUUAUAGAUGGAUCCGCGCCGCAUUAGCUAGUUGGUAAGGUACCGGCUUACCAAGGCAACGAUGCGUAGCCGACCUGAGAGGGUGAUCGGCCACACUGGAACUGAGACACGGUCCAGACGCCUACGGGAGGCAGCAGUAGGGAAUCUUCCGCAAUGGGCGAAAGCCUGACGGAGCAACGCCGCGUGAGUGAUGAAGGUCUUCGGAUCGUAAAACUCUGUUAUUAGGGAAGAACAAAUGUGUAAGUAACUAUGCACGUCUUGACGGUACCUAAUCAGAAAGCCACGGCUAACUACGUG
RNAcentral lists this ribosomal RNA (497 nucleotides) under uncultured bacterium. Its description in RNAcentral is "partial 16S ribosomal RNA". It matches the Rfam family "Bacterial small subunit ribosomal RNA", at positions 28 to 507 of the family's 1533-position model. The record is from RNAcentral.